This 77-nucleotide transfer RNA is filed under the name Candidatus Saccharimonadota bacterium. RNAcentral's name for it is "tRNA-Arg". It matches the Rfam family "tRNA". From Rfam's summary of the family: Transfer RNA (tRNA) molecules are approximately 80 nucleotides in length. Their secondary structure includes four short double-helical elements and three loops (D, anti-codon, and T loops). Further hydrogen bonds mediate the characteristic L-shaped molecular structure. tRNAs have two regions of fundamental functional importance: the anti-codon, which is responsible for specific mRNA codon recognition, and the 3' end, to which the tRNAs corresponding amino acid is attached (by aminoacyl-tRNA synthetases). tRNAs cope with the degeneracy of the genetic code in two manners: having more than one tRNA (with a specific anti-codon) for a particular amino acid; and 'wobble' base-pairing, i.e. permitting non-standard base-pairing at the 3rd anti-codon position. Lineage: Bacteria; Candidatus Saccharimonadota. The record is from RNAcentral.
GCGCCCGUAGCUCAGCUGGAUAGAGCAUCACCUUGCGGUGGUGGGGGUCGCAAGUUCGAAUCUUGCCGGGCGCACCA